RNAcentral lists this ribosomal RNA (595 nucleotides) under uncultured fungus. RNAcentral's name for it is "eukaryotic LSU rRNA". It matches the Rfam family "Eukaryotic large subunit ribosomal RNA", at positions 23 to 641 of the family's 3401-position model. The record is from RNAcentral. Lineage: Eukaryota; Fungi.
ACCCGCUGAACUUAAGCAUAUCAAUAAGCGGAGGAAAAGAAACCAACAGGGAUUGCCCUAGUAACGGCGAGUGAAGCGGCAACAGCUCAAAUUUGAAAUCUGGCUUUCGGGCCCGAGUUGUAAUUUGUAGAGGAUACUUUUGAUGCGGUGCCUUCCGAGUUCCCUGGAACGGGACGCCAUAGAGGGUGAGAGCCCCGUCUGGUUGGGUGCCAAAUCUCUGUAAAGUUCCUUCGACGAGUCGAGUAGUUUGGGAAUGCUGCUCUAAAUGGGAGGUAUAUGUCUUCUAAAGCUAAAUAUUGGCCAGAGACCGAUAGCGCACAAGUAGAGUGAUCGAAAGAUGAAAAGCACUUUGAAAAGAGAGUUAAAAAGUACGUGAAACUGUUGAAAGGGAAGCGUUUAUGACCAGACUUGGACUUGGUUAAUCAUCUGGGGUUCUCUCCAGUGCACUUUUCCAGUUCAGGCCAGCAUCAGUUUUCGCCGGGGGAUAAAGGCAGCGGGAAUGUGGCUCUCUUCGGGGAGUGUUAUAGCCCGCUGUGUAAUACCCUGGUGGGGACUGAGGUUCGCGCUUCUGCAAGGAUGCUGGCGUAAUGGUCAU